RNAcentral lists this ribosomal RNA (187 nucleotides) under uncultured bacterium. RNAcentral describes it as "partial 16S ribosomal RNA". It matches the Rfam family "Bacterial small subunit ribosomal RNA", at positions 1300 to 1500 of the family's 1533-position model. The record is from RNAcentral.
GUAGGCUGAAACUCNCCUACAUGAAGCUGGAAUUGCUAGUAAUCACAGGUCAGCAUACUGUGGUGAAUACGUUCCCGGGCCUUGUACACACCGCCCGUCACACCAUGAGAGUUGAGAAUACCCGAAGCCCAUGUCAAAGUGGUCGAAGGUAGGCUUGAUGAUUGGGGUGAAGUCGUAACAAGGUAGC